RNAcentral lists this ribosomal RNA (253 nucleotides) under uncultured microorganism. RNAcentral's name for it is "partial 16S ribosomal RNA". It matches the Rfam family "Bacterial small subunit ribosomal RNA", at positions 524 to 776 of the family's 1533-position model. The record is from RNAcentral.
UACGUAGGGUGCGAGCGUUAAUCGGAUUUACUGGGCGUAAAGCGUGCGCAGGCGGCCCGUUAAGACAGGUGUGAAAUCCCUGGGCUCAACCUAGGAAUUGCGCUUGUGACUGGCGGGCUCGAGUACGGUAGAGGGGGGUGGAAUUCCUGGUGUAGCAGUGAAAUGCGUAGAUAUAUGGAAGAACACCAGUGGCGAAGGCAGCCCCCUGGGCCUGUACUGACGCUCAUGCACGAAAGCGUGGGGAGCAAACAGG